UAAUAACUACUAUAGAACUUCAGAGCA
Molecule: non-coding RNA, 27 nt
Filed under: Cricetulus griseus (Chinese hamster)
Lineage: Eukaryota; Metazoa; Chordata; Mammalia; Rodentia; Cricetidae
Source: RNAcentral